RNAcentral lists this ribosomal RNA (776 nucleotides) under uncultured Neocallimastigales. Its description in RNAcentral is "partial large subunit ribosomal RNA". It matches the Rfam family "Eukaryotic large subunit ribosomal RNA", at positions 1 to 647 of the family's 3401-position model. Lineage: Eukaryota; Fungi; Neocallimastigomycota; Neocallimastigomycetes; Neocallimastigales. The record is from RNAcentral.
AGAGAGAGACAUGCGCGCAUACAAUAAGCGGAGGAAAAGAAACUAACAAGGAUUCCCUUAGUAACGGCGAGUGAAGCGGGAAGAGCUCAAAUCUGAAAUCUUCAAGGUUCUACCUUGACGAAUUGUAGUUUAUAGAAGUGUUUUCUGUUAGUGGAGUGGCAAAAGUUCUUUGGAAUAGGACAUCAUAGAGGGUGAGAAUCCCGUAUUUGGUCAUUCCUCCUAGCGUUGUGAUACACUUUCAACGAGUCGGAUUGUUUGGGAAUGCAGUCCAAAAUGGGUGGUAAAUUUCAUCUAAAGCUAAAUAUUGGCGAGAGACCGAUAGCGAACAAGUACCGUGAGGGAAAGAUGAAAAGAACUUUGAAAAGAGAGUUAAACAGUACGUGAAAUUGUCAAAAGGGAAGCGUUUGACACCAGUGUUGUUUUCUCGAAAAUCGAUUAAGAAUGCUGGAUUUUGUGUUAGUAUUGACUUUAUCAGGCUUGCUGCCUUUCUUUCCGAAUCUUUCUUAACUGCACUUUUCGGUUAACAAGUCAACAUCAAUUUCUUUUGUUGUAAAAGGUCAUGAGGAAGGUGGCUUUCUUUUCGGAGAAAGUGUUUAUAGCCUUGUACCUCUGCAAUCGGAGAGAUUGAGGUCUGCAGCGUAGAUCCUUCGGGGUUAGAUACAUUUGUGCUAAGUUAUAGCCUUUCAUAGACAACUUGUUGACUAUGCUUAGUCUUGUAGCUUACUCGCUUAUGCUAUUUUACCUACGCUUAGGAUGUUGAUCUGUAGUGCGUGCGC